RNAcentral lists this ribosomal RNA (492 nucleotides) under uncultured bacterium. Its description in RNAcentral is "partial 16S ribosomal RNA". It matches the Rfam family "Bacterial small subunit ribosomal RNA", at positions 38 to 507 of the family's 1533-position model. The record is from RNAcentral.
GGGGGGGGCGGGCGGGGGGGGGGGCGGAGGCGGGGCGGGGGGCAGCGCAGUAGGGGCGGGCGCUUACGGGUGGCGAGUGGCGGACGGGUGAGGAAUACAUCGGAAUCUACUUUUUCGUGGGGGCUAACGUAGGGAAACUUACGCUAAUACCGCAUACGACCUACGGGUGAAAGCAGGGGAUCUUCGGACCUUGCGCGAUUGAAUGAGCCGAUGUCGGAUUAGCUAGUUGGCGGGGUAAAGGCCGACCAAGGCGACGAUCCGUAGCUGGUCUGAGAGGAUGAUCAGCCACACUGGAACUGAGACACGGUCCAGACUCCUACGGGAGGCAGCAGUGGGGAAUAUUGGACAAUGGGCGCAAGCCUGAUCCAGCCAUACCGCGUGGGUGAAGAAGGCCUUCGGGUUGUAAAGCCCUUUUGUUGGGGAAGAAAAGCAGCAGGUUAAUACCCCGCUGUUCUGACGGUACACAAAGAAUAAGCACCGGCUAAAUUCGUG